RNAcentral lists this ribosomal RNA (253 nucleotides) under uncultured bacterium. RNAcentral's name for it is "partial 16S ribosomal RNA". It matches the Rfam family "Bacterial small subunit ribosomal RNA", at positions 524 to 776 of the family's 1533-position model. The record is from RNAcentral.
UACGGAGGGUGCGAGCGUUAAUCGGAAUUACUGGGCGUAAAGGGCGCGUAGGCGGUGGGUUACGUCUGCCGUGAAAUCCCCGGGCUCAACCUGGGAAUGGCGGUGGAAACGGGCUGACUGGAGUAUGGGAGAGGGUGAUGGAAUUCCAGGUGUAGCGGUGAAAUGCGUAGAGAUCUGGAGGAACACCAGGGGCGAAGGGGGUCACCUGGCCCAAGACUGACGCUGAGGCGCGAAAGCGUGGGGAGCGAACAGG